RNAcentral lists this long non-coding RNA (247 nucleotides) under Olea europaea (common olive). RNAcentral describes it as "long non-coding RNA (OEUR_LNC009091)". The record is from RNAcentral. Lineage: Eukaryota; Viridiplantae; Streptophyta; Magnoliopsida; Lamiales; Oleaceae.
UUGAGACCAUCAAUCAUAUUUUCACGAGCAGCAGCAUCUCCGACCAGGUAUGGCAGUACUUUGGAGACAUCUUUCAGAUACCUAUGACUUCAGGGGAGGGGGUCAGACAGAGGUUCCAAAGACGGCGGUAUUCUGGACAUCACGUUUACCGUGGACACAUUCGUAUUAUCAUUCCUCUACUGAUAUUUUGGUUUCUAUGGACUGAGAGGAAUGAUGCGAAGCAUAGAGGUAUUCGUAUGGUGGCCAG